This 431-nucleotide ribosomal RNA is filed under the name uncultured bacterium. RNAcentral's name for it is "partial 16S ribosomal RNA". It matches the Rfam family "Bacterial small subunit ribosomal RNA", at positions 338 to 795 of the family's 1533-position model. The record is from RNAcentral.
CCUACGGGAGGCUGCAGUGGGGAAUAUUGCACAAUGGGCGCAAGCCUGAUGCAGCCAUGCCGCGUGUGUGAAGAAGGCCUUAGGGUUGUAAAGCACUUUCAGCGAGGAGGCGUUACUCGCAGAAGAAGCACCGGCUAACUCCGUGCCAGCAGCCGCGGUAAUACGGAGGGUGCAAGCGUUAAUCGGAAUUACUGGGCGUAAAGCGCACGCAGGCGGUUUGUUAAGUCAGAUGUGAAAUCCCCGCGCUUAACGUGGGAACUGCAUUUGAAACUGGCAAGCUAGAGUCUUGUAGAGGGGGGUAGAAUUCCAGGUGUAGCGGUGAAAUGCGUAGAGAUCUGGAGGAAUACCGGUGGCGAAGGCGGCCCCCUGGACAAGCUGACGCUCAGGUGCGAAAGCGUGGGGAGCAAACAGGAUUAGAUACCCUUGUAGUC